This 425-nucleotide ribosomal RNA is filed under the name uncultured bacterium. RNAcentral's name for it is "partial 16S ribosomal RNA". It matches the Rfam family "Bacterial small subunit ribosomal RNA", at positions 354 to 796 of the family's 1533-position model. The record is from RNAcentral.
GUGGGGGAUAUUGCACAAUGGAGGAAACUCUGAUGCAGCGACGCCGCGUGAGUGAAGAAGUAUUUCGGUAUGUAAAGCUCUAUCAGCAGGGAAGAUAAUGACAGUACCUGACUAAGAAGCCCCGGCUAACUACGUGCCAGCAGCCGCGGUAAUACGUAGGGGGCAAGCGUUAUCCGGAUUUACUGGGUGUAAAGGGAGCGUAGACGGAAUGGCAAGUCUGAAGUGAAAUCCUGCGGCUUAACUGCAGAAUUGCUUUGGAAACUGUCAAUCUGGAGUGUUGGAGAGGUAAGCGGAAUUCCUGGUGUAGCGGUGAAAUGCGUAGAUAUCAGGAAGAACACCGGAGGCGAAGGCGGCUUACUGGACAAUAACUGACGUUGAGGCUCGAAAGCGUGGGAAGCAAACAGGAUUAGAAACCCCGGUAGUCC